CCUACGGGUGGCAGCAGUAGGGAAUAUUGCUCAAUGGGGGAAACCCUGAAGCAGCAACGCCGCGUGGAGGAUGAAGGUUUUAGGAUUGUAAACUCCUUUUGUUAGAGAAGAUAAUGACGGUAUCCCACGCCUACUCACCGGCUAACUCCGUGCCAACAGCCGCGGUAAUACGGAGGGUGCAAGCGUUAUUCGGAAUCACCGGGCGUAAAGCGUGCGCAGGCGGGCUUGUAAGUCAGAUGUGAAAUCCUGUAGCUUAACUACAGAACUGCAUUUGAAACUAUGAGUCUAGAGUGUGGGAGAGGUAGGUGGAAUGCUUGGUGUAGGGGUAAAAUCCGUAGAUAUCAAGAGGAAUACUCAUUGCGAAGGCGACCUACUGGAACAUUACUGACGCUCAUGCACGAAAGCGUGGGGAGCAAACAGGAUUAGAUACCCUUGUAGUC
RNAcentral lists this ribosomal RNA (440 nucleotides) under uncultured bacterium. RNAcentral describes it as "partial 16S ribosomal RNA". It matches the Rfam family "Bacterial small subunit ribosomal RNA", at positions 338 to 795 of the family's 1533-position model. The record is from RNAcentral.